RNAcentral lists this long non-coding RNA (269 nucleotides) under Mytilus galloprovincialis (Mediterranean mussel). Lineage: Eukaryota; Metazoa; Mollusca; Bivalvia; Mytilida; Mytilidae. The record is from RNAcentral.
CAACAUAUCACCAAAAUAUCAUUCAAAAACAUGUUUUUGACGUGAUAUGUCUGGCUAUACUCAUGUGAAUAGCAUAUUUUCUGGAAAUAUUUGUUCUGAAUGUUUAAAGAGCAUUAUUUUUAAAUAUCUUGAUUUUAUAUUGAAAUAACAUAAUUUUGAUAUAAUUCAGUUUCAAUUGAAAAUAUCCAGACAACAUCUUUCAAACAUCUGGACAAAAUAUUCUUCUAAUGUCUAGGAUAUGUUUUAUUGAUGUCUACCUAAUGUUUUUU